RNAcentral lists this unclassified non-coding RNA (329 nucleotides) under soil metagenome. RNAcentral's name for it is "partial contains 5.8S ribosomal RNA, internal transcribed spacer 2, and large subunit ribosomal RNA". The stretch from base 1 to 120 matches the Rfam family "5.8S ribosomal RNA", at positions 35 to 154 of the family's 154-position model. The record is from RNAcentral.
GAUGAAGAACGUAGCGAAAUGCGAUAAGUAAUGUGAAUUGCAGAAUUCAGUGAAUCAUCGAAUCUUUGAACGCACAUUGCGCCCCCUGGUAUUCCGGGGGGCAUGCCUGUCCGAGCGUCAUUACAACCCUCAAGCUCAGCUUGGUAUUGGGCCCCGCCGACCCGGCGGGCCCUAAAGUCAGUGGCGGUGCCGUCCGGCUCCGAGCGUAGUAAUUCUUCUCGCUCUGGAGGUCCGGUCGUGUGCUCGCCAGCAACCCCCAAUUUUUUUCAGGUUGACCUCGUAUCAGGUAGGGAUACCCGCUGAACUUAAGCAUAUCAAUAAGCGGAGGA